This 235-nucleotide ribosomal RNA is filed under the name uncultured bacterium. RNAcentral's name for it is "partial 16S ribosomal RNA". It matches the Rfam family "Bacterial small subunit ribosomal RNA", at positions 99 to 334 of the family's 1533-position model. The record is from RNAcentral.
CGGACGGGUGAGUAACGCGUGGGUAACCUGCCUUGUACAGGGGGAUAACAGUCAGAAAUGACUGCUAAUACCGCAUAAGCGCACAGGACCGCAUGGUCCAGUGUGAAAAACUCCGGUGGUAUAAGAUGGACCCGCGUUGGAUUAGCUAGUUGGUGGGGUAACGGCCUACCAAGGCGACGAUCCAUAGCCGGCCUGAGAGGGUGAACGGCCACAUUGGGACUGAGACACGGCCCAG